This 76-nucleotide transfer RNA is filed under the name Aquimarina algicola. RNAcentral describes it as "Flavobacteriaceae bacterium M625 tRNA-Asp". It matches the Rfam family "tRNA". From Rfam's summary of the family: Transfer RNA (tRNA) molecules are approximately 80 nucleotides in length. Their secondary structure includes four short double-helical elements and three loops (D, anti-codon, and T loops). The record is from RNAcentral. Lineage: Bacteria; Pseudomonadati; Bacteroidota; Flavobacteriia; Flavobacteriales; Flavobacteriaceae.
AGUACCGUAGCACAGUGGCUAGUGCACCCGACUGUCUCUCGGAAGGUCGCGGGUUCGAAUCCCGUCGGUACUGCAA